RNAcentral lists this ribosomal RNA (465 nucleotides) under Vreelandella stevensii. RNAcentral's name for it is "partial 16S ribosomal RNA". It matches the Rfam family "Bacterial small subunit ribosomal RNA", at positions 338 to 795 of the family's 1533-position model. Lineage: Bacteria; Pseudomonadati; Pseudomonadota; Gammaproteobacteria; Oceanospirillales; Halomonadaceae. The record is from RNAcentral.
CCUACGGGGCGCAGCAGUGGGGAAUAUUGGACAAUGGGCGAAAGCCUGAUCCAGCCAUGCCGCGUGUGUGAAGAAGGCCUUCGGGUUGUAAAGCACUUUCAGUGGGGAAGAAAGCCUUGGGGCUAAUACCCUCGAGGAAGGACAUCACCCACAGAAGAAGCACCGGCUAACUCCGUGCCAGCAGCCGCGGUAAUACGGAGGGUGCGAGCGUUAAUCGGAAUUACUGGGCGGAAAGCGCGCGUAGGCGGUCUGAUAAGCCGGUUGUGAAAGCCCCGGGCUCAACCUGGGAACGGCAUCCGGAACUGUCAGGCUAGAGUGCAGGAGAGGAAGGUAGAAUUCCCGGUGUAGCGGUGAAAUGCGUAGAGAUCGGGAGGAAUACCAGUGGCGAAGGCGGCCUUCUGGACUGACACUGACGCUGAGGUGCGAAAGCGUGGGUAGCAAACAGGAUUAGAUACCCGAGUAGUC